This 491-nucleotide ribosomal RNA is filed under the name uncultured bacterium. RNAcentral's name for it is "partial 16S ribosomal RNA". It matches the Rfam family "Bacterial small subunit ribosomal RNA", at positions 29 to 507 of the family's 1533-position model. The record is from RNAcentral.
AGUGAACGCUGGCGGUAGGCCUAACACAUGCAGUCGAACGGCAGCACAGUAAGAGCUUGCUCUUACGGGUGGCGAGUGGCGGACGGGUGAGGAAUACAUCGGAAUCUACUUUUUCGUGGGGGAUAACGUAGGGAAACUUACGCUACUACCGCAUACGACCUACGGGUGAAAGCAGGGGAUCUUCGGACCUUGCGCGAUUGAAUGAGCCGAUGUCGGAUUAGCUAGUUGGCGGGGUAAAGGCCCACCAAGGCGACGAUCCGUAGCUGGUCUGAGAGGAUGAUCAGCCACACUGGAACUGAGACACGGUCCAGACUCCUACGGGAGGCAGCAGUGGGGAAUAUUGGACAAUGGGCGCAAGCCUGAUCCAGCCAUACCGCGUGGGUGAAGAAGGCCUUCGGGUUGUAAAGCCCUUUUGUUGGGAAAGAAAAGCAGCAGGUUAAUACCCCGCUGUUCUGACGGUACCCAAAGAAUAAGCACCGGCUAACUUCGUG